AACGCACCUUGCGCCUCUUGGUAUUCCGAGAGGCAUGCCUGUUUGAGUGUCAUGAAAAAUCAACCCCUCGGGUUUUCCGACCUGGGGUGGCUUGGAACUGGGCGCUGCCGCUUGACUGCCGGCUCGCCUCAAAGGUCUCAGUGGGAAGAUCGACCCAUGCCAGACGUGAUAAGUUUCGUCCGGCUACGUCGUGAAGCCUGCUCACAACCAACACUACUAUCUCUUGAUUGACCUCAAAUCAGGUAGGGCUACCCGCUGAACUUAA
Molecule: unclassified non-coding RNA, 265 nt
Filed under: uncultured fungus
Lineage: Eukaryota; Fungi
Description: partial contains 5.8S ribosomal RNA, internal transcribed spacer 2, and large subunit ribosomal RNA
Rfam family: 5.8S ribosomal RNA (bases 1-52)
Source: RNAcentral